GAAGGAUUAGUUAAUUAUAUAACAUCAGAAUGUCAAACUGAAAUAAUCGAGUAGAUAUCCUUCU
This 64-nucleotide transfer RNA is filed under the name Astratotermes hilarus. Its description in RNAcentral is "tRNA-Asp". Lineage: Eukaryota; Metazoa; Arthropoda; Insecta; Blattodea; Termitidae. The record is from RNAcentral.